RNAcentral lists this ribosomal RNA (498 nucleotides) under uncultured bacterium. Its description in RNAcentral is "partial 16S ribosomal RNA". It matches the Rfam family "Bacterial small subunit ribosomal RNA", at positions 28 to 507 of the family's 1533-position model. The record is from RNAcentral.
GACGAACGCUGGCGGCGUGCCUAAUACAUGCAAGUCGAACGAGAGCGACCGGUGCUUGCACUGGUCAAUCUAGUGGCGAACGGGUGAGUAACACGUGGGUAACCUGCCCAUCAGAGGGGGAUAACAUCCGGAAACGGAUGCUAAAACCGCAUAGGUCUUCGAGCCGCAUGGCUUGAAGAGGAAAAGAGGCGCAAGCUUCUGCUGAUGGAUGGACCCGCGGUGCAUUAGCUAGUUGGUGAGGUAACGGCUCACCAAGGCCGUGAUGCAUAGCCGACCUGAGAGGGUGAUCGGCCACAUUGGGACUGAGACACGGCCCAAACUCCUACGGGAGGCAGCAGUAGGGAAUCUUCCGCAAUGGACGCAAGUCUGACGGAGCAACGCAGCGUGAGUGAAGAAGGUUUUCGGAUCGUAAAACUCUGUUGUUAGAGAAGAACAAGUGCUAGAGUAACUGUUAGCGCCUUGACGGUAUCUAACCAGAAAGCCACGGCUAACUACGUG